AAUAGAUACCCAGGUAGUCCACGCCCUAAACGAUGUCAACUAGCUGUUGGGGCCUUCGGGCCUUGGUAGCGCAGCUAACGCGUGAAGUUGACCGCCUGGGGAGUACGGUCGCAAGAUUAAAACUCAAAGGAAUUGACGGGGACCCGCACAAGCGGUGGAUGAUGUGGAUUAAUUCGAUGCAACGCGAAAAACCUUACCUACCCUUGACAUGUCUGGAAUCCUGAAGAGAUUUGGGAGUGCUCGCAAGAGAACCGGAACACAGGUGCUGCAUGGCUGUCGUCAGCUCGUGUCGUGAGAUGUUGGGUUAAGUCCCGCAACGAGCGCAACCCUUGUCAUUAGUUGCUACGAAAGGGCACUCUAAUGAGACUGCCGGUGACAAACCGGAGGAAGGUGGGGAUGACGUCAAGUCCUCAUGGCCCUUAUGGGUAGGGCUUCACACGUCAUACAAUGGUCGGGACAGAGGGUCGCCAACCCGCGAGGGGGAGCCAAUCCCAGAAACCCGAUCGUAGUCCGGAUCGCAGUCUGCAACUCGA
This 533-nucleotide ribosomal RNA is filed under the name uncultured bacterium. RNAcentral's name for it is "bacterial SSU rRNA". It matches the Rfam family "Bacterial small subunit ribosomal RNA", at positions 777 to 1315 of the family's 1533-position model. The record is from RNAcentral.